UACGUAGGUGGCAAGCGUUGUCCGGAUUUACUGGGUGUAGAGGGCGUGCAGCCGGGAAGACAAGUCAGAUGUGAAAUCCCGCGGCUCAACCGCGGAACUGCAUUUGAAACUGUUUUUCUUGAGUACCGGAGAGGUCAUCGGAAUUCCUUGUGUAGCGGUGAAAUGCGUAGAUAUAAGGAAGAACACCAGUGGCGAAGGCGGAUGACUGGACGGCAACUGACGGUGAGGCGCGAAAGCGUGGGGAGCAAACAGG
Molecule: ribosomal RNA, 253 nt
Filed under: uncultured bacterium
Lineage: Bacteria
Description: partial 16S ribosomal RNA
Rfam family: Bacterial small subunit ribosomal RNA
Source: RNAcentral